Molecule: ribosomal RNA, 110 nt
Filed under: uncultured bacterium
Lineage: Bacteria
Description: partial 16S ribosomal RNA
Rfam family: Bacterial small subunit ribosomal RNA
Source: RNAcentral
CCCGGGUCUUGUACACACCGCCCGUCACACCAUGGGAGCGGGUUCUGCCAGAAGUAGUUAGCCUAACCGCAAGGGGGGCGAUUACCACGGCAGGGUUCGUGCCUGGGGUG